Non-coding RNA from Staphylococcus cohnii subsp. cohnii, 222 nucleotides. The record is from Rfam. NCBI's taxonomy places the organism in Bacteria, Bacillati, Bacillota, Bacilli, Caryophanales, Staphylococcaceae.
CCAUUAUACAUAAGUUACCUUGAUAAUUUAGUAUAGUUAGUGUUUAUUAAAUUAUCAAAGUGACUUGUUUUUAAGUGUUUUAAUGUAAAAUUACAUAUGGAUGCGUUGUAUUUUGGCGAGAUGCUUGAGGGAACAGGAUAAGUUGAAGACGACAGGCUGAAGCUGUCCCCAUAAAAGAGCGAGCCAACAAUACGAAGUAUUGAGUAACAAAAAAGCACGCAG